UGUAUAAUGGGUCAGCGACUUAUAUUCUGUAGCAAGGUUAACCGAAUAGGGGAGCCGAAGGGAAACCGAGUCUUAACUGGGCGUUAAGUUGCAGGGUAUAGACCCGAAACCCGGUGAUCUAGCCAUGGGCAGGUUGAAGGUUGGGUAACACUAACUGGAGGACCGAACCGACUAAUGUUGAAAAAUUAGCGGAUGACUUGUGGCUGGGGGUGAAAGGCCAAUCAAACCGGGAGAUAGCUGGUUCUCCCCGAAAGCUAUUUAGGUAGCGCCUCGUGAAUUCAUCUCCGGGGGUAGAGCACUGUUUCGGCAAGGGGGUCAUCCCGACUUACCAACCCGAUGCAAACUGCGAAUACCGGAGAAUGUUAUCACGGGAGACACACGGCGGGUGCUAACGUCCGUCGUGAAGAGGGAAACAACCCAGACCGCCAGCUAAGGUCCCAAAGUCAUGGUUAAGUGGGAAACGAUGUGGGAAGGCCCAGACAGCCAGGAUGUUGGCUUAGAAGCAGCCAUCAUUUAAAGAAAGCGUAAUAGCUCACUGGUCGAGUCGGCCUGCGCGGAAGAUGUAACGGGGCUAAACCAUGCACCGAAGCUGCGGCAGCGACACUAUGUGUUGUUGGGUAGGGGAGCGUUCUGUAAGCCUGUGAAGGUGGCCUGUGAGGGUUGCUGGAGGUAUCAGAAGUGCGAAUGCUGACAUAAGUAACGAUAAAGCGGGUGAAAAGCCCGCUCGCCGGAAGACCAAGGGUUCCUGUCCAACGUUAAUCGGGGCAGGGUGAGUCGACCCCUAAGGCGAGGCCGAAAGGCGUAGUCGAUGGGAAACAGGUUAAUAUUCCUGUACUUGGUGUUACUGCGAAGGGGGGACGGAGAAGGCUAUGUUGGCCGGGCGACGGUUGUCCCGGUUUAAGCGUGUAGGCUGGUUUUCCAGGCAAAUCCGGAAAACCAAGGCUGAGGCGUGAUGACGAGGCACUACGGUGCUGAAGCGACAAAUGCCCUGCUUCCAGGAAAAGCCUCUAAGCAUCAGGUAACAUCAAAUCGUACCCCAAACCGACACAGGUGGUCAGGUAGAGAAUACCAAGGCGCUUGAGAGAACUCGGGUGAAGGAACUAGGCAAAAUGGUGCCGUAACUUCGGGAGAAGGCACGCUGAUAUGUAGGUGAAGCGACUUGCUC
RNAcentral lists this ribosomal RNA (1165 nucleotides) under Escherichia coli. RNAcentral describes it as "partial 23S ribosomal RNA". It matches the Rfam family "Bacterial large subunit ribosomal RNA", at positions 609 to 1774 of the family's 2925-position model. Lineage: Bacteria; Pseudomonadati; Pseudomonadota; Gammaproteobacteria; Enterobacterales; Enterobacteriaceae. The record is from RNAcentral.